GCGCAGCAGGCGAGAAUACUUUACAAUGUGCGAAAGCACGAUAAGGGAACUCUGAGUGCCUCCUAAGGAGGCUGUUCAGGUGUCUAAAAAGCACCUGGAGUAAGGGCUGGGUAAGACCGGUGCCAGCCGCCGCGGUAACACCGGCAGCCCAGGUGGUAGCCACUUUUAUUGGGUCUAAAGCGUCCGUAGCCGGUUGAGUAAGUUCCUUGGGAAAUUUGGCUGCUCAACAGUCAAGCUUCCAGGGAAUACUGCUCGACUUGGGACUGGGAGAGGUCAGAGGUACUCCAGGGGUAGGGGUGAAAUCCAUUAAUCCCUGGGGGACCACCGGUAGCGAAGGCGUCUGACCAGACCAGGUCCGACGGUGAGGGACGAAGGCUAGGGGCGCGAACCGGAUUAGAUACCCCCGUAGU
Molecule: ribosomal RNA, 410 nt
Filed under: uncultured microorganism
Description: bacterial SSU rRNA
Rfam family: Archaeal small subunit ribosomal RNA
Source: RNAcentral